GAGGAAAGAGGGAGGAGGGAGGAACACAGGAAAGUCGAACGGAAAGGCCCUGCUUGCCGGGUACUCGAGUGGCGAACGGGUGAGUAACACGUGGGUGAUAUGAUCUGUACUUUGGGAUAAGCCUGGGAAACUGGGUCUAAUACCGAAUAUGACAAUUGUUUGGAUGCGAUUGUGGAAAGCUUUUGCGGUAUGGGAUGAGCUCGCGGCCUAUCAGCUUGUUGGUGGGGUAAUGGCCUACCAAGGCGUCGACGGGUAGCCGGCCUGAGAGGGUGUACGGCCACAGUGGGACUGAGAUACGGCCCAGACUCCUACGGGAGGCAGCAGUGGGGAAUAUUGCACAAUGGGAGCAAGCCUGAUGCAGCGACGCCGCGUGGGGGAUGACGUCCUUCGGGUUGUAAACUCCUUUCGCAACCGACGAAGCCUUUUGGUGACGGUAGGUUGAGAAGAAGCACCGGCUAACUACGUC
This 466-nucleotide ribosomal RNA is filed under the name uncultured bacterium. RNAcentral describes it as "partial 16S ribosomal RNA". It matches the Rfam family "Bacterial small subunit ribosomal RNA", at positions 38 to 507 of the family's 1533-position model. The record is from RNAcentral.